UCCGAGUUGACCCCGGCAGUCUCCCAUGAGUCCCCACCAUUACGUGCUGGCAACUAAGGACAAGGGUUGCGCUCGUUGCGGGACUUAACCCAACAUCUCACGACACGAGCUGACGACAGCCAUGCAGCACCUGUGUUCCGGUUCCCGAAGGCACCCCUCGAUCUCUCAAGGGUUCCGGACAUGUCAAGGCCAGGUAAGGUUCUUCGCGUUGCAUCGAAUUAAACCACAUACUCCACCGCUUGUGCGGGCCCCCGUCAAUUCCUUUGAGUUUCAGUCUUGCGACCGUACUUCCCAGGCGGCGAACUUAACGCGUUAGCUUCGAUACUGAAGGCUCAAUUGCCCCCAACAUCCAGUUCGCAUCGUUUAGGGCGUGGACUAC
RNAcentral lists this unclassified non-coding RNA (379 nucleotides) under uncultured Lysobacteraceae bacterium. RNAcentral describes it as "uncultured Xanthomonadaceae bacterium contains 16S-23S intergenic spacer region". The record is from RNAcentral. Lineage: Bacteria; Pseudomonadati; Pseudomonadota; Gammaproteobacteria; Lysobacterales; Lysobacteraceae.